UACGUAGGGUGCGAGCGUUAAUCGGAAUUACUGGGCGUAAAGCGUGCGCAGGCGGUUCGCUAAGACAGAUGUGAAAUCCCCGGGCUUAACCUGGGAACUGCAUCUGUGACUGCAUCGCUGGAGUACGGUAGAGGGGGAUGGAAUUCCGCGUGUAGCAGUGAAAUGCGUAGAUAUGCGGAGGAACACCGAUGGCGAAGGCAAUCCCCUGGACCUGUACUGACGCUCAUGCACGAAAGCGUGGGGAGCAAACAGG
Molecule: ribosomal RNA, 253 nt
Filed under: uncultured bacterium
Lineage: Bacteria
Description: partial 16S ribosomal RNA
Rfam family: Bacterial small subunit ribosomal RNA
Source: RNAcentral